GAGAUAUAACUCAGUUGGUAGAGUGCUUGCCUGACAUGUAUAAGGCCCUGGGUUCAAUCCCCAGCACACA
This 70-nucleotide transfer RNA is filed under the name Marmota monax (woodchuck). Its description in RNAcentral is "tRNA.Val". The stretch from base 7 to 64 matches the Rfam family "tRNA", at positions 8 to 63 of the family's 71-position model. Rfam says of the family: Transfer RNA (tRNA) molecules are approximately 80 nucleotides in length. Lineage: Eukaryota; Metazoa; Chordata; Mammalia; Rodentia; Sciuridae. The record is from RNAcentral.